UACGUAGGGUGCAAGCGUUAAUCGGAAUUACUGGGCGUAAAGCGUGCGCAGGCGGCUUUGCAAGACAGAUGUGAAAUCCCCGGGCUUAACCUGGGAACUGCAUUUGAGACUGGAAGGCUAGAGUGCGGCAGAGGGGGGUGGAAUUCCGCGUGUAGCAGUGAAAUGCGUAGAUAUGCGGAGGAACACCGAUGGCGAAGGCAAUCCCCUGGGCCUGCACUGACGCUCAUGCACGAAAGCGUGGGGAGCAAACAGG
Molecule: ribosomal RNA, 253 nt
Filed under: uncultured bacterium
Lineage: Bacteria
Description: partial 16S ribosomal RNA
Rfam family: Bacterial small subunit ribosomal RNA
Source: RNAcentral